AGUGAACGCUGGCGGUAGGCCUAACACAUGCAAGUCGAACGGCAGCACAGUAAGAGCUUGCUCUUACGGGUGGCGAGUGGCGGACGGGUGAGGAAUACAUCGGAAUCUACUUUUUCGUGGGGGAUAACGUAGGGAAACUUACGCUAAUACCGCAUACGACCUACGGGUGGAAGCAGGGGAUCUUCGGACCUUGCGCGAUUGAAUGAGCCGAUGUCGGAUUAGCUAGUUGGCGGGGUAAAGGCCCACCAAGGCGACGAUCCGUAGCUGGUCUGAGAGGAUGAUCAGCCACACUGGAACUGAGACACGGUCCAGACUCCUACGGGAGGCAGCAGUGGGGAAUAUUGGACAAUGGGCGCAAGCCUGAUCCAGCCAUACCGCGUGAGUGAAGAAGGCCUUCGGGUUGUAAAGCCCUUUUGUUGGGAAAGAAAAGCAGCAGGUUAAUACCCCGCUGUUCUGACGGUACCCAAAGAAUAAGCACCGGCUAACUUCGUG
Molecule: ribosomal RNA, 492 nt
Filed under: uncultured bacterium
Lineage: Bacteria
Description: partial 16S ribosomal RNA
Rfam family: Bacterial small subunit ribosomal RNA
Source: RNAcentral